CCAGUAGCGGGGGAUAACUACGCGAAAGCGUAGCUAAUACCGCAUACGCCCUACGGGGGAAAGCAGGGGAUCGCAAGACCUUGCACUAUUGGAGCGGCCGAUAUCGGAUUAGCUAGUUGGUGGGGUAACGGCUCACCAAGGCGACGAUCCGUAGCUGGUUUGAGAGGACGACCAGCCACACUGGGACUGAGACACGGCCCAGACUCCUACGGGAGGCAGCAGUGGGGAAUUUUGGACAAUGGGGGAAACCCUGAUCCAGCCAUCCCGCGUGUGCGAUGAAGGCCUUCGGGUUGUAAAGCACUUUUGGCAGGAAAGAAACGUCGCGGGUUAAUACCCCGCGGAACUGACGGUACCUGCAGAAUAAGCACCGGCUAACUACGUGCCAGCAGCCGCGGUAAUACGUAGGGUGCAAGCGUUAAUCGGAAUUACUGGGCGUAAAGCGUGCGCAGGCGGUUCGGAAAGAAAGAUGUGAAAUCCCAGAGCUUAACUUUGGAACUGCAUUUUUAACUACCGGGCUAGAGUGUGUCAGAGGGAGGUGGAAUUCCACGUGUAACACUGAAAAUGCGUAGAUAUGCAGGAGGAACACCGAAUGGCGAAAGCAAAACUCCUGGGGAUAACACCUGACGUCUUAUGGCACGAAAAGAAAUUUU
Molecule: ribosomal RNA, 650 nt
Filed under: Achromobacter sp.
Lineage: Bacteria; Pseudomonadati; Pseudomonadota; Betaproteobacteria; Burkholderiales; Alcaligenaceae
Description: bacterial SSU rRNA
Rfam family: Bacterial small subunit ribosomal RNA
Source: RNAcentral